AACGAACGCUGGCGGCAGGCCUAACACAUGCAAGUCGAGCGAGGACUUCGGUUCUAGCGGCGGACGGGUGAGUAACGCGUGGGAAUGUGCCCUUCUCUACGGAAUAGCCCUGGGAAACUGGGAGUAAUACCGUAUACGCCCUAUUGGGGAAAGAUUUAUCGGAGAAGGAUCAGCCCGCGUUGGAUUAGGUAGUUGGUGGGGUAAUGGCCUACCAAGCCGACGAUCCAUAGCUGGUUUGAGAGGAUGAUCAGCCACACUGGGACUGAGACACGGCCCAGACUCCUACGGGAGGCAGCAGUGGGGAAUCUUAGACAAUGGGGGCAACCCUGAUCUAGCCAUGCCUCGUGAGUGAUGAAGGCCUUAGGGUUGUAAAGCUCUUUCAGCUGGGAAGAUAAUGACGGUACCAGCAGAAGAAGCCCCGGCUAACUCCGUG
RNAcentral lists this ribosomal RNA (433 nucleotides) under uncultured bacterium. RNAcentral's name for it is "partial 16S ribosomal RNA". It matches the Rfam family "Bacterial small subunit ribosomal RNA", at positions 29 to 507 of the family's 1533-position model. The record is from RNAcentral.